UGGGGAAUAUUGGACAAUGGGGGCAACCCUGAUCCAGCCAUGCCGCGUGUGUGAAGAAGGCCUUUUGGUUGUAAAGCACUUUAAGCAGUGAAGAAGACUCCAUGGUUAAUACCCAUGGACGAUGACAUUAGCUGCAGAAUAAGCACCGGCUAACUCUGUGCCAGCAGCCGCGGUAAUACAGAGGGUGCAAGCGUUAAUCGGAAUUACUGGGCGUAAAGCGAGCGUAGGUGGCUUGAUAAGUCAGAUGUGAAAGCCCCGGGCUUAACCUGGGAACGGCAUCUGAUACUGUUAGGCUAGAGUAGGUGAGAGGAAGGUAGAAUUCCAGGUGUAGCGGUGAAAUGCGUAGAGAUCUGGAGGAAUACCGAUGGCGAAGGCAGCCUUCUGGCAUCAUACUGACACUGAGGUUCGAAAGCGUGGGUAGCAAACAGG
RNAcentral lists this ribosomal RNA (429 nucleotides) under Bacillota bacterium. Its description in RNAcentral is "Firmicutes bacterium partial 16S ribosomal RNA". It matches the Rfam family "Bacterial small subunit ribosomal RNA", at positions 355 to 776 of the family's 1533-position model. The record is from RNAcentral. Lineage: Bacteria; Bacillati; Bacillota. RNAcentral also lists the same sequence under 1 other name.